RNAcentral lists this ribosomal RNA (428 nucleotides) under uncultured bacterium. RNAcentral's name for it is "partial 16S ribosomal RNA". It matches the Rfam family "Bacterial small subunit ribosomal RNA", at positions 354 to 796 of the family's 1533-position model. The record is from RNAcentral.
GUGGGGAAUAUUGGACAAUGGGCGAAAGCCUGAUCCAGCCAUGCCGCGUGUGUGAUGAAGGCCUUAGGGUCGUAAAGCUCUGUUGAAUGGGAAGAAAAAAAUGACGGUACCAUUCGAGGAAGGACCGGCUAACUUCGUGCCAGCAGCCGCGGUAAUACGAGGGGUCCUAGCGUUGUUCGGAAUCAUUGGGCGUAAAGGGUGUGUAGGUGGCCAUGUAAGUCAGGUGUGAAAGCCCCGGGCUCAACCCGGGAGGUGCACUUGAUACUGCGUGGCUUGAGUACCGAAGAGGGUAGUGGAAUUCCAGGUGUAGUGGUGAAAUACUUAGAUAUCUGGAGGAACACCGGUGGCGAAGGCGGCUACCUGGUCGAGUACUGACACUGAGACACGAAAGCAUGGGGAUCAAACAGGAUUAGAAACCCGUGUAGUCC